GAAUGAAGCAAGGCUUUAUAAGGGGAGCAGUGUCCGUCUCGGCGCCAGUCUUCAACAUGAACGCACUUCCGCUGUUUCUUCUUCUGGUGUGCGUCUGUGCGUCGGCCAGCGGGUUCGUCGUCCCUUGCGAUGCGUGCGAUAAAACCGCGUGUCCUGCGGUGAGUCUGGAUUCUUGCCAGCAUGGGCUUGUCACCGACGUGUGCGACUGCUGCGAAAUGUGUGCAAAGGUGUUUAUUUUCCCGUUGGUAUUUGAUCUAUUAGAAUAAUCAGAAAAUAUAGGGGGAAAAUACAAGAUUUUUUUGUUAUGAAGAACCACACGAAACCAAUGGCUCUCCACAUCUGAACUAAAACCAGAGUCUGAUUCCCACAGGGACUAAAUGAGCCUUGUAAAGCCGAUGAAAAAUGCGGCAGUGGCUUGUAUUGCGAAUCAAUUCCACUCUCCCAUGGUGACGGCGUCUGCGUGCAACUUUGAACUUAAGCAUUCUUUGUUGCAUGUUUAUGACUUAUGUUACCUCAUCCUUUGGGGAUGUACAAAACCACAUGUCUCAAUAAACUUGUCCAAGUCAAAGUUUCUAUCACUUUUAUAAAAUAUUAUUUACUUAUGGCAUUGAACUGCAAUAUAGACUUUAGCCUAAAUUAUCGCAUGUGAUUUGUAUACAUAACAUCUGGCAUGUAUCAAUAAAACUAAAAAAAAUGUAGUAAAUAUAAA
RNAcentral lists this unclassified non-coding RNA (709 nucleotides) under Penaeus japonicus. Its description in RNAcentral is "insulin-like growth factor-binding protein 7, transcript variant X1". Lineage: Eukaryota; Metazoa; Arthropoda; Malacostraca; Decapoda; Penaeidae. The record is from RNAcentral.